CGGGACUUCUCAAAUUUUAAAUUUCAUCUUCAGUCGUUCUCUCUCUAUAUUCAUAUCUAGGGGAUUACAUAAAAUAGAAGAAAGGAUCUAGAUGAAACCCUAAAGUCUUCUGCUCGUUCUCUCUCUAAGUUCACUAGCUACAACAAAUCGAUAGGUGAUUUGUAAAUCGAUAACUUGUUUUGAUUUGUGUUGCCGCAGAUUAAAAUGGUUAAAGUGGCAGUCUUCUUGUUUGCUGUCAGCGUUGGUUGUUUACGGUGGUUUUGGCAAAGCUCCGGCGGUGGUUUAUAUACAUGGUGGUCACCGGAAUUUAACCUUCCUUCUGUUUAAAGAUUUUGAAGAUUACAGAGAUUUUUACGUUUUGGUUCAGAGCUCUGUAGGUUCUGUUGGGAUCCACUCCACUGGAGUUGAUAUGUGGUUUAUUGUUUGAGUGAUGGUUGGUGCAAGUUGAGAAUGAGUACGGAUCUAUAGGAAAGGCGUAUGGAGGUGCGGCUACAACUACAUGACUUAGGCUGCAAACAUGGCGGUUAAAUUGGACACCCCAUUCGUAAUGUGCAAGCAAGAUAGUACUCACAACCAAAUGUUCCAUUUUUUGCUCUACACAUUUGCAGAGAAUUUGAAAUCAUCCACGGGAUGAGACGAGACGAGAAAACAGUGGGUUAGCAUACCUUCUUUUCUUGGCGAAUAGAGAGUUUUCGAUUAUCUGUUGAAAAGGUAAAAGCUGGCGUGGAAACUCAAGUUGAUUUCGUUAAGUCACUUGCUUUUGAAGCCUGUGUUGCUUUCUUUACAGACAUACAAGAUUGCGGCCUUUGUGAACUGGCUACACGGAGAACUCUCCUUCUUGGUUGAUGAGAGGGCAGUAUUGAAGCACUUUGAAGCACUUUGACUUGCCAGAAGGGAAAGCAGGUGCACUAAGAAAAGCAAGCUUUGAAUAUCAAGACCUGAACUAUGUAUCCAAACACGUAACUUUGUUGAUGAUUCAAAUCACUCCUAUGAAUAUGCUUUAAAGAAUGUACAAGUUGCUGUAUGU
Molecule: long non-coding RNA, 1027 nt
Filed under: Helianthus annuus (common sunflower)
Lineage: Eukaryota; Viridiplantae; Streptophyta; Magnoliopsida; Asterales; Asteraceae
Description: sRNA HanXRQr2_Chr06g0265351
Source: RNAcentral